Molecule: long non-coding RNA, 737 nt
Filed under: Equus caballus (horse)
Lineage: Eukaryota; Metazoa; Chordata; Mammalia; Perissodactyla; Equidae
Description: lncRNA (ENSECAG00000042685.2)
Source: RNAcentral
UAUAGCCUGUGGAAGAGCUUAACCAUCUGGCAGGGAAGACAGACAUGGGCAGAUAGGUGACAACUCAGAGAAAUAAGGGGAGCAAUGAAAACACACCCAAAGGCAACACAGAACGGGGAGUGAUUCAUUGUAUGUAAGGUGCCGAUGGAAAGACCUCCGGGUGUUAAAUGACUGACUGGACCAGGUGGGAAAACAGGGAAGAAGUUCAAACAGAAACCGGAGCAGAGGUCAGGUGCCUCUGGGAAGCCAACUUUUGUAUCCUGUGGUGCAGUCUGGGUCCUGAGCCUGUGAGCGUCCAGAGAUGGUGGUAGGAGCAGAGCCUCAGAGUCUGAGUGGUCUGAGUUUGGGCGACAGUGGAGUUGCAGUUUUUCCUUGGGGGGUGCAAUGGAGGCCGUGUAAAGCCCAGUCCAGGGCAGGCUGAGAGAAUCGUCAGCUUAGGAGGUCAUUGGCAUUUGGAGGGGUUAAGAACGCAGGUGUGGGGUGAUGGCCCAUGGUGUGGCGAAGAAGAGAGAAAUAAUACAACGAGAAGAGCAGAGUCCCCAGAGCCGGAAGCACUGACAUUCCAGGUGAGCGAGGUUAGUGAACAGAAGGGAGAAGGACGCUGUGUGAGGACCCCACCGCUUCACCCCCAAAGAGAGGACACAAGGCUGUGGAAUUCAGAUCUGGAGGAGCAGCUGGUCCACAGGCGGAGGCUUCAGAAAGGUCAAGGAGGCAGAUAAGACAGAGAAAUUCCCACA